UUGAUCCUGGCUCAGGACGAACGCUGGCGGCGUGCCUAAUACAUGCAAGUCGAGCGGACCGACGGGAGCUUGCUCCCUUAGGUCAGCGGCGGACGGGUGAGUAACACGUGGGUAACCUGCCUGUAAGACUGGGAUAACUCCGGGAAACCGGGGCUAAUACCGGAUGCUUGAUUGAACCGCAUGGUUCCAAUCAUAAAAGGUGGCUUUUAGCUACCACUUACAGAUGGACCCGCGGCGCAUUAGCUAGUUGGUGAGGUAACGGCUCACCAAGGCGACGAUGCGUAGCCGACCUGAGAGGGUGAUCGGCCACACUGGGACUGAGACACGGCCCAGACUCCUACGGGAGGCAGCAGUAGGGAAUCUUCCGCAAUGGACGAAAGUCUGACGGAGCAACGCCGCGUGAGUGAUGAAGGUUUUCGGAUCGUAAAACUCUGUUGUUAGGGAAGAACAAGUACCGUUCGAAUAGGGCGGCACCUUGACGGUACCUAACCAGAAAGCCACGGCUAACUACGUGCCAGCAGCCGCGGUAAUACGUAGGUGGCAAGCGUUGUCCGGAAUUAUUGGGCGUAAAGCGCGCGCAGGCGGUUUCUUAAGUCUGAUGUGAAAGCCCCCGGCUCAACCGGGGAGGGUCAUUGGAAACUGGGGAACUUGAGUGCAGAAGAGGAGAGUGGAAUUCCACGUGUAGCGGUGAAAUGCGUAGAGAUGUGGAGGAACACCAGUGGCGAAGGCGACUCUCUGGUCUGUAACUGACGCUGAGGCGCGAAAGCGUGGGGAGCGAACAGGAUUAGAUACCCUGGUAGUCCACGCCGUAAACGAUGAGUGCUAAGUGUUAGAGGGUUUCCGCCCUUUAGUGCUGCAGCAAACGCAUUAAGCACUCCGCCUGGGGAGUACGGUCGCAAGACUGAAACUCAAAGGAAUUGACGGGGGCCCGCACAAGCGGUGGAGCAUGUGGUUUAAUUCGAAGCAACGCGAAGAACCUUACCAGGUCUUGACAUCCCGCUGAUCGGUGUAGAGAUAUGCCUUUCCUUCGGGACAGCGGUGACAGGUGGUGCAUGGUUGUCGUCAGCUCGUGUCGUGAGAUGUUGGGUUAAGUCCCGCAACGAGCGCAACCCUUGAUCUUAGUUGCCAGCAUUCAGUUGGGCACUCUAAGGUGACUGCCGGUGACAAACCGGAGGAAGGUGGGGAUGACGUCAAAUCAUCAUGCCCCUUAUGACCUGGGCUACACACGUGCUACAAUGGGCAGAACAAAGGGCAGCGAAGCCGCGAGGCUAAGCCAAUCCCACAAAUCUGUUCUCAGUUCGGAUCGCAGUCUGCAACUCGACUGCGUGAAGCUGGAAUCGCUAGUAAUCGCGGAUCAGCAUGCCGCGGUGAAUCCGUUCCCGGGCCUUGUACAC
This 1394-nucleotide ribosomal RNA is filed under the name uncultured Bacillus sp. Its description in RNAcentral is "bacterial SSU rRNA". It matches the Rfam family "Bacterial small subunit ribosomal RNA", at positions 13 to 1388 of the family's 1533-position model. The record is from RNAcentral. Lineage: Bacteria; Bacillati; Bacillota; Bacilli; Caryophanales; Bacillaceae.